Molecule: transfer RNA, 74 nt
Filed under: Micromonospora coxensis
Lineage: Bacteria; Bacillati; Actinomycetota; Actinomycetes; Micromonosporales; Micromonosporaceae
Description: tRNA_Glu_CTC
Rfam family: tRNA
About the family: Transfer RNA (tRNA) molecules are approximately 80 nucleotides in length. Their secondary structure includes four short double-helical elements and three loops (D, anti-codon, and T loops).
Source: RNAcentral
GGGCCGUUGGAGCAACUGGCAGCUCACCCGGCUCUCGACCGGGAGGUUCACGGGUUCGAACCCCGUACGGCCCA